RNAcentral lists this long non-coding RNA (1478 nucleotides) under Homo sapiens (human). Its description in RNAcentral is "HSALNT0361964". The record is from RNAcentral. Lineage: Eukaryota; Metazoa; Chordata; Mammalia; Primates; Hominidae.
AUCGCGAGAUCAGGAAGGUGGCCGAGUGUGUCGCCGCGGCCAUCAGGCACUUCUCCUUCCUGCCCUUGUAUGAAGAAGGAUGUGUUUGCUUCCCCUUGUGCCAUGAUUGUAAAUUUCCUGAGGCCUCCUCAGCCCUGCAGAACUGGGGUUAUAGCCAUGUGACUGAUCUUCGUCCAAGAAUAUGUAAAGAAAAAGUGUUGAGUUGGCUUUUAGGGCUAGAGCAAUGUAUCUUAGGCUCACUUAAGGAAGCUGUAGAGAUGAGCCCAAGGAGGGAAACCAGAAGAGCCCCCCAGGCUCACCAGUUGUUUGUUGGCUCCCUACAAACAUGUCAUUCAAGUGGCUAAUCUUACAACAGCACAAAUUCAUCUAACCAGAAAGAGAAGAGGAGGCUCCAAAGGCACUUGACUACUGAGCAUCACCCUGGACGUGUACAAGUCUGCGUCCUUAUUGUUUUCUUCAUUGGGCCGAACUUUCUGGUCCUCAUCCAACAGCUCUUCUAUCACGUGUUCGAAAGUGUCAGCCAAUGAUGUCAAGCCUCUUGAACCUGCCUUGGGCCCAUUCACGCUCUCCAGAGUCCCAUGGGUCCGCACACCUGGAGAUACUCUAUUAUAGCAAAGAAGAAAGAUAAUUUCAUUGAGCCAUCCUGUUUUACAGGAAAUUCUGCAAGUGGCAACGUGGGUCCAUUCCGUGUGUGUCACUAGAGCUGGCGCAAGCCCAUGGCCAUGGUGAGGCAGCGUUUCCACUGGAACUAAUCUGAUACCUGCACCAGCUCUUGCAACUGUGCAGUGUUCCCACUGCAAACUACGGAUGGGGUAAAAGACUGCUCACCUCCUAUUUCUCAUCUAAUCUCACACACUCUGUUUGAUGAGGCUAUGGAGAAACAGGUCUUCUCAUACACUAAAGGUGGGAGUACAAACAAUUCAAGCCCUGUGCAGGACAAUUAGGCAAUACCUAUCAAAAUUAUACAUGAUUUUUCCUGCUGACCCAGCAAUUCCACUUCUGGGAAUAAUUGACAGAUAUAGGUGCAUAUGUACAAAAUGAUGGAAAGCUCUCUGGUAUAUAUUAGUAAGUGAUAAAACAAGGUGUAAAAUAGUGUAUAUAUGGCUACUACCUUUUGUUUUAAAAAUGGGGGAAAAUGGUGGAGCUUGCGGUGAGCCGAGAUCGUGCCACUGCACUCCAGCCUGGGCGACAGAGCGAGACUCCGUCUCAAAAAAAAAACAGGGUGGGGUGGGGGGGAAAUAAUAGUACAUACUCAUAUUUACCUGUAUCUAUAUAAAACACACUAUCAAGGAUUCACAAGAAACUAAUACAAAUGAUCACCUUAUAGAUGGUAUGUAUUGGGGGAUACUGAGGUGAGCAGGGUAUAAGUGGGGCAAGACUUUUCAGUGUAAACUUCUUUUAAAUUUUAUUUUGAUUUUUGAAUAAUGUAAAUUAACUGUCAAAUAAUUAAAUUAAAAAUAACCAAUUUAUUAACAAAA